GAUGAACGCUGGCGGCGUGCUUAACACAUGCAAGUCGAACGGAAAGGCCCAAGCUUGCUUGGGUACUCGAGUGGCGAACGGGUGAGUAACACGUGGGUGAUCUGCCCUGCACUUCGGGAUAAGCCUGGGAAACUGGGUCUAAUACCGGAUAGGACGAUGGUUUGGAUGCCAUUGUGGAAAGUUUUUUCGGUGUGGGAUGAGCUCGCGGCCUAUCAGCUUGUUGGUGGGGUAAUGGCCUACCAAGGCGUCGACGGGUAGCCGGCCUGAGAGGGUGUACGGCCACAUUGGGGCUGAGAUACGGCCCAGACUCCUACGGGAGGCAGCAGUGGGGAAUAUUGCACAAUGGGCGCAAGCCUGAUGCAGCGACGCCGCGUGGGGGAUGACGGCCUUCGGGUUGUAAACUCCUUUCGCUAGGGAAGAAGCGUUUUUGUGACGGUACCUGGAGAAGAAGCACCGGCUAACUACGUG
This 468-nucleotide ribosomal RNA is filed under the name uncultured bacterium. RNAcentral's name for it is "partial 16S ribosomal RNA". It matches the Rfam family "Bacterial small subunit ribosomal RNA", at positions 28 to 507 of the family's 1533-position model. The record is from RNAcentral.